Molecule: ribosomal RNA, 433 nt
Filed under: uncultured bacterium
Lineage: Bacteria
Description: partial 16S ribosomal RNA
Rfam family: Bacterial small subunit ribosomal RNA
Source: RNAcentral
AACGAACGCUGGCGGCAUGCCUAACACAUGCAAGUCGAACGAGACCUUCGGGUGUAGUGGCGCACGGGUGCGUAAGGCGUGGGAACCUGCCCUUAGGUUCGGAAUAACUCCCCGAAAGGGGUGCUAAUACCGGAUAAUGUCUUCGGACCAAAGAUUUAUCGCCUUUGGAUGGGCCCGCGUUGGAUUAGCUCGUUGGUAGGGUAAAAGCCUACCAAGGCGACGAUCCAUAGCUGGUCUGAGAGGAUGAUCAGCCACACUGGGACUGAGACACGGCCCAGACUCCUACGGGAGGCAGCAGUGGGGAAUAUUGGACAAUGGGCGAAAGCCUGAUCCAGCAAUGCCGCGUGAGUGAUGAAGGCCUUAGGGUUGUAAAGCUCUUUUACCCGGGAUGAUAAUGACAGUACCGGGAGAAUAAGCUCCGGCUAACUCCGUG